UGUUUCGGCUAGGGGGCCAUCCCGGCUUACCAACCCGAUGCAAACUGCGAAUACCGGAGAAUGUUAUCACGGGAGACACACGGCGGGUGCUAACGUCCGUCGUGAAGAGGGAAACAACCCAGACCGCCAGCUAAGGUCCCAAAGUCAUGGUUAAGUGGGAAACGAUGUGGGAAGGCCCAGACAGCCAGGAUGUUGGCUUAGAAGCAGCCAUCAUUUAAAGAAAGCGUAAUAGCUCACUGGUCGAGUCGGCCUGCGCGGAAGAUGUAACGGGGCUAAACCAUGCACCGAAGCUGCGGCAGCGACGCUUAUGCGUUCGUUGGGUAGGGGAGCGUUCUGUAAGCCUGUGAAGGUGGCCUGUGAGGGUUGCUGGAGGUAUCAGAAGUGCGAAUGCUGACAUAAGUAACGAUAAAGCGGGUGAAAAGCCCGCUCGCCGGAAGACCAAGGGUUCCUGUCCAACGUUAAUCGGGGCAGGGUGAGUCGACCCCUAAGGCGAGGCCGAAAGGCGUAGUCGAUGGGAAACGGGUUAAUAUUCCCGUACUUGGUGUUACUGCGAAGGGGGGACGGAGAAGGCUAUGUUGGCCGGGCGACGGUUGUCCCGGUUUAAGCGUGUAGGUGUGUGUUCCAGGUAAAUCCGGUUCACUUUAACACUGAGGCGUGAUGACGAGGCACUACGGUGCUGAAGCAACAAAUGCC
This 693-nucleotide ribosomal RNA is filed under the name Salmonella enterica subsp. enterica serovar Kedougou. RNAcentral describes it as "partial 23S ribosomal RNA". It matches the Rfam family "Bacterial large subunit ribosomal RNA", at positions 911 to 1601 of the family's 2925-position model. The record is from RNAcentral. Lineage: Bacteria; Pseudomonadati; Pseudomonadota; Gammaproteobacteria; Enterobacterales; Enterobacteriaceae.